GAUGAAGAACGUAGCGAAAUGCGAUAAGUAAUGUGAAUUGCAGAAUUCAGUGAAUCAUCGAAUCUUUGAACGCACAUUGCGCCCCCUGGUAUUCCGGGGGGCAUGCCUGUCCGAGCGUCAUUACAACCCUCAAGCUCAGCUUGGUGUUGGGCCCCGCCGCCCCGGCGGGCCCUAAAGUCAGUGGCGGUGCCGUCCGGCUCCGAGCGUUGUAAUUCUUCUCGCUCUGGAGGUCCGGUCGUGUGCUCGCCAGCAACCCCCAAUUUUUUUCAGGUUGACCUCGGAUCAGGUAGGGAUACCCGCUGAACUUAAGCAUAUCAAUAAGCGGAGGA
Molecule: unclassified non-coding RNA, 329 nt
Filed under: soil metagenome
Description: partial contains 5.8S ribosomal RNA, internal transcribed spacer 2, and large subunit ribosomal RNA
Rfam family: 5.8S ribosomal RNA (bases 1-120)
Source: RNAcentral